GAUGAAAACGCAGCGAAAUGCGAUAAGUAGUGUGAAUUGCAGAAUUCAGUGAAUCAUCGAAUCUUUGAACGCACAUUGCGCCUCCUGGUAUUCCGGGAGGCAUGCCUGUUCGAGCGUCAUUAAAAUCACUCAAGCUUAGGUUUACCUAUUGCUUGGUCUUGGAGAUGGAAGCCAAUUUAUUGGAAUCCUCUUCGAAAUUCAAUGGCGAAGACCCUUGCUCUCCCAAGUGUAGUAAUAACUUAUGUCACUGAAGGAAGCGAGAAAUCUUCUGCCGUAACCCCCAUAUUUUCUAUGAUUGACCUCGGAUCAGGUAGGGAUACCCGCUGAACUUAAGCAUAUCAAUAAGCGGAGGA
This 353-nucleotide unclassified non-coding RNA is filed under the name soil metagenome. Its description in RNAcentral is "partial contains 5.8S ribosomal RNA, internal transcribed spacer 2, and large subunit ribosomal RNA". The stretch from base 1 to 119 matches the Rfam family "5.8S ribosomal RNA", at positions 35 to 154 of the family's 154-position model. The record is from RNAcentral.